GAACCUAUAACUAGAUUAUAGGUAAAGGAUUUAAAAAUCAUGAUAGUCAAAUCCUAUUAGUGUUGUCCAAAUACUGGUGCCAGAAGACUCGGUAAGGCCAGAAACGCUAACGUUAAUAGUCUUGAUUAGGCGUAAAGGGUUCGUAGGCAUCUUUAUACCGAUUAAAGGUUGAAAUAAAGAUUGAAUCUUAUCCAAGACAAAGUUGAAUGUAAGAAGUAAGGGUGAAAUCUUUAGAUCUCUUCUAGAAGACUCUGAGCGAAAGCUAUAUGUUUGGGAAAGAUUGACGCUAAAGAACGUAGGUUGGGCUGAGAAAAAAGGAUUAGAUACCCAAGUAUUCCCAUCUGUUAACGAUGAAUAGUAGCUCUUCAGUUUAAAUAAAUAACUGUGAAGCGAAGCUAACGCAUUUACUAUUCCGCCUUGUGAGUACGACUGCAAAGUUGAAAACAAAAAAAUUAGUCGGUCUCGAAGCAAACGAAGUGAAGCAUG
RNAcentral lists this ribosomal RNA (486 nucleotides) under Subulicystidium tropicum. Its description in RNAcentral is "SSU rRNA". It matches the Rfam family "Bacterial small subunit ribosomal RNA", at positions 420 to 941 of the family's 1533-position model. The record is from RNAcentral. Lineage: Eukaryota; Fungi; Basidiomycota; Agaricomycetes; Trechisporales; Hydnodontaceae.